GUCUGGUCCGAGUGCAGUGGUCUUUACAACAAAUCGAUCACAACCAGUUACAGAUUUCUUUGUUCCUUCUCCACUCCCACUGCUUCACACUCGACUAGCUUUUA
This 104-nucleotide Y RNA is filed under the name Prolemur simus (greater bamboo lemur). RNAcentral describes it as "Y RNA (ENSPSMG00000006594.1)". It matches the Rfam family "Y RNA". From Rfam's summary of the family: Y RNAs are components of the Ro ribonucleoprotein particle (Ro RNP), in association with Ro60 and La proteins. The Y RNAs and Ro60 and La proteins are well conserved, but the function of the Ro RNP is not known. In humans the RNA component can be one of four small RNAs -- hY1, hY3, hY4 and hY5. The record is from Rfam by way of RNAcentral. Lineage: Eukaryota; Metazoa; Chordata; Mammalia; Primates; Lemuridae.